AACGAACGCUGGCGGCAGGCUUGACACAUGCAAGUCGAACGCUCGUAGCAAUACGGGAGUGGCAGACGGGUGAGUAACGCGUGGGAACGUGCCCAAAGGUACGGAACAACUCCGGGAAACUGGAGCUAAUACCGUAUGUGCCCGAAAGGGGAAAGAUUUAUCGCCUUUGGAUCGGCCCGCGUCGGAUUAGCUAGUUGGUGGGGUAAUGGCCUACCAAGGCGACGAUCCGUAGCUGGUCUGAGAGGAUGAUCAGCCACACUGGGACUGAGACACGGCCCAGACUCCUACGGGAGGCAGCAGUGGGGAAUAUUGGACAAUGGGCGCAAGCCUGAUCCAGCCAUGCCGCGUGAGUGAUGAAGGCCUUAGGGUUGUAAAGCUCUUUCGCCAGGGACGAUAAUGACGGUACCUGGAUAAGAAGCCCCGGCUAACUUCGUGCCAGCAGCCGCGGUAA
This 451-nucleotide ribosomal RNA is filed under the name uncultured bacterium. Its description in RNAcentral is "partial 16S ribosomal RNA". It matches the Rfam family "Bacterial small subunit ribosomal RNA", at positions 29 to 523 of the family's 1533-position model. The record is from RNAcentral.